Molecule: ribosomal RNA, 397 nt
Filed under: uncultured bacterium
Lineage: Bacteria
Description: partial 16S ribosomal RNA
Rfam family: Bacterial small subunit ribosomal RNA
Source: RNAcentral
AUACGUAGGGGGCAAGCGUUAUCCGGAAUUACUGGGUGUAAAGGGAGCGCAGACGGCUAAGCAAGUCUGAUGUGAAAGUCAUGGGCUCAACCCAUGGAUUGCAUUGGAAACUGCGAAGCUGGAGUGUCGGAGGGGUAAGCGGAAUUCCUGGUGUAGCGGUGAAAUGCGUAGAUAUCAGGAGGAACACCGGUGGCGAAGGCGGCUUACUGGACGAUCACUGACGUUGAGGCUCGAAAGCGUGGGGAGCAAACAGGAUUAGAUACCCUGGUAGUCCACGCGGUAAACGAUGAAUACCAUGUGUCGGGGGGCGAAGCUCUUCGGUGCCGAAAGCAAACGCAGUAAGUAUUCCACCUGGGGAGUACGGUCGCAAGAAUGAAACUCAAAUGAAUUGGCGGUG